This 413-nucleotide ribosomal RNA is filed under the name uncultured bacterium. RNAcentral's name for it is "bacterial SSU rRNA". It matches the Rfam family "Bacterial small subunit ribosomal RNA", at positions 28 to 445 of the family's 1533-position model. The record is from RNAcentral.
GACGAACGCUGGCGGCGUGCUUAACACAUGCAAGUCGAACGGUAAGGCCCUUCGGGUACACGAGUGGCGAACGGGUGAGUAACACGUGGGUGGUCUGCCCUGCACUUCGGGAUAAGCCUGGGAGACUGGGUCUAAUACCGGAUAGGACUCCUGGCUUCAUGGUUGGGGGUGUAAAGCUUUUGCGGUGUGGGAUGGGCCCGCGGCCUAUCAGCUUGUUGGUGGGGUAAUGGCUUACCAAGGCGACGACGGGUAGCCGGCCUGAGAGGGUGACCGGCCACACUGGGACUGAGAUACGGCCCAGACUCCUACGGGAGGCAGCAGUGGGGAAUAUUGCACAAUGGGCGCAAGCCUGAUGCAGCGACGCCGCGUGAGGGAUGACGGCCUCGGUUGUAACGUACUUCUAUAGGACGAAG